RNAcentral lists this long non-coding RNA (1695 nucleotides) under Macaca fascicularis (crab-eating macaque). RNAcentral describes it as "lncRNA (ENSMFAG00000048521.1)". The record is from RNAcentral. Lineage: Eukaryota; Metazoa; Chordata; Mammalia; Primates; Cercopithecidae.
AAGAGAGAAAAGGCUGUGGUUUAUAAACUUGUAGCUUUAGUCGGCUUGGCUGGAUGUAGGGAGCAGAUAGAACUUGAGUGGGAACGGACAGAGAAAAGUGGGCAGCAGGAAGCUUGCUUCUGCCAUAAAGUGGUUUUAAUAUCACCUGAGGGUAUCAGAGGCCUCUAAAGUGUAAUAUGCAAAAUUUCAAGGUCUGUACCUAAAAUUUAUGGUUCAGAGAAAAUUUCAUCUAUACAUCCAGAAGUGGUUAGAGCAGAAGAAAGCUUUGACUCAAAUUAACUAAACUCACAAAUGGUUAAGGUAUAAAUUGGAAUGGCAAUUUGUAAAAUUUGAAUAGCAUUUGACUAUCCAGGGGAAUGGCCUGAUAAUCAGGAUAGCCACUCUCUGUGGUUAAUCACGUUUGACUCCAGCUUGGAAAGAAGAACAUGAACUCAAAGCAGGAGAAUUAUGGUACUUGACAUUUCUGUGUUUCUGACCGGCCUGUGAGAAGCACUCUACUCUGCUCAUUCUUGAGACACAUUUUUUGCUUUGAGGAUACCACUUCCUGAGUUUCAUGAUAAUUUCCACCCUGUGAACGUUUUUUGUUGGGUGGUUUGGGUUUUGUCCAUUUAGUGUUCAGAAUUGUAGUGGAAAUAUACUGACCUGGGGAUUUUUCUUGUUUAGAAUUUGUUUCUUCUUCAAAUUUUUCACACAUUUUAAAAUAGAAUACACCUAAAAGAAUGGGAUCUCCUCUGUUAAAAGUUUGGCUAUUUUUCUUGGUGUAUUUAUUUUCAGGUCAUAUACUGACUCUUAGCAGAGCCAAUUUUAAUGUAAUAAUUAAUGUAAUAAAAUUCAAACAAAAACACUUAGAAAAUAGCUGUAAUUCUCCAAACGCAGUGAAGUAUGUCAUUGACAACUGACCAUGUUUCUCCUUUAGUUCUAGAUGAUGCAGUUUUGUUAUUUAUACAUUUUUACAAUUUAUUUUCAGAUUUAUUUUAACAGUUCUGAUAUAUCUCUUAUAAACAGACCAUUAUAUUAGAAUUAGAAUUGAAAUUUGAUACAUAAAAAUGCUCUACAGAAAAAUUUUCUAUGAUUUAUAUAAUUAGGCUUUUAGCAUUUUUGACAUGGCAUUUAAUAGACCAUACAUUUGGUUUUUGUCUGUCACCUGCCAUUUUCAUAUUUGCAUCUUUAAUAAGACCAACCUGAUUGUCAACACUGAAAACUGCUCCAUUUUAACACUACAUGCUUUCAGAUUCCAAGCAUAGUAGAAGCAGUAUUAAUAAAAGGAAUUCCACUUAAUAAUGGCUAAGUUACAAUAAAACAUUUCUCUUACAUGCUCAGAUUUUUAAUUUAAAUGAUACAUUUAUGAAGUAUUUUCUAUGUGUAUGUGUGCGUACAUAUGUAUGUGUGUGUGUAUAUAUAUGUAUAUUUAUGAAUGACUAAAAGUAAACACCAAAUACCUCUAAUCUUAAUCGUAAGAAAUGAACAGAGUAGGGCAUUUAUUUUUAAAAUGGCAGUCUUACAUUCCUCAUGAUAGAGUCGGUGGCUUAGAGAUGUGCUUCUCAAAACUCAGCCUUGGUCAGGUGCAGUGGCUCAUGCCUAUAAUCUCAGCACUUUGGGAGGCCAAGGUGGGAGGAUCACUUGAGCCCAGGAGUUGCAGGCUAGCCUGGGCAAUAUGGCAAAACCUCAUCUCAAAAAAAAAAAAAAAAAAAAAAA